GCUUGCUCUUCUGGAUGAGUUGCGAACGGGUGAGUAACGCGUAGGUAACCUGCCUGGUAGCGGGGGAUAACUAUUGGAAACGAUAGCUAAUACCGCAUGACAACAGUUAUUGCAUGAUAACUGUUUAAAAGGGGCAAUUGCUCCACUACCAGAUGGACCUGCGUUGUAUUAGCUAGUUGGUGAGGUAACGGCUCACCAAGGCGACGAUACAUAGCCGACCUGAGAGGGUGAUCGGCCACACUGGGACUGAGACACGGCCCAGACUCCUACGGGAGGCAGCAGUAGGGAAUCUUCGGCAAUGGACGGAAGUCUGACCGAGCAACGCCGCGUGAGUGAAGAAGGUUUUCGGAUCGUAAAGCUCUGUUGUAAGAGAAGAACGAGUGUGAGAGUGGAAAGUUCACACUGUGACGGUAUCUUACCAGAAAGGGACGGCUAACUACGUGCCAGCAGCCGCGGUAAUACGUAGGUCCCGAGCGUUAUCCGGAUUUAUUGGGCGUAAAGCGAGCGCAGGCGGUUAGAUAAGUCUGAAGUUAA
Molecule: ribosomal RNA, 534 nt
Filed under: uncultured Streptococcus sp.
Lineage: Bacteria; Bacillati; Bacillota; Bacilli; Lactobacillales; Streptococcaceae
Description: bacterial SSU rRNA
Rfam family: Bacterial small subunit ribosomal RNA
Source: RNAcentral